Molecule: long non-coding RNA, 617 nt
Organism: Thalassophryne amazonica
Lineage: Eukaryota; Metazoa; Chordata; Actinopteri; Batrachoidiformes; Batrachoididae
Exons: 4
Source: RefSeq, a predicted model, not a curated record
GUUAAAAAUGAUAAAUUCAGUGAUUUAGAGAAAACACACAGGACGUACAAGUAAUAAGACAAUCCUCACCUUCAAUACUCAUCUCUAAAGUACAAAUCAAGCACAUGGCAACUAAAGGUAUCCUACCAAUAUCUGACAUUUGAAUGCAAUAUGUACAAGAUGCUAACACGUCACUCGCCAAAUCAUUCUGGAAAGAGGAAAAAAAAAAAAAAAAAAAAAAAAAAAAUCAAUUUGAAGAGUGAAGGCACUCAAAUGCACACGAGGAGUGACUUUAGGAUUAUGGACUUUGCUCAAUGGCACAUUAGUUACAAUAAUUAUUGAGAAAAGUGAUCUUUCACAUUCCCGUCCCACAUUUUGAAAUCCUCUCAGGGGAUUGAACAUAUGACCUUCUGUCACUAGAUAACGGAUUUCCAUGGGAACAAAGAGAAACCUCUGAUGAUAAGUCCGGUAGGUAAGAGUCAUAUUUUUGAUGGGGAAGAACAAAAGAAAUACAAGCGUUUCCUAAACAUGUCAGAGAAUGCAGGAAUAUUCCCACUGUUUGUAUGUCCAAAACCAGUAACCUUAGCUAAAUUAUUACCAACAUAUACUUAACAAAAAUAAGAACAACCCCAGGUUUC